This 995-nucleotide long non-coding RNA is filed under the name Equus asinus (donkey). RNAcentral describes it as "lncRNA (ENSEASG00005033407.1)". The record is from RNAcentral. Lineage: Eukaryota; Metazoa; Chordata; Mammalia; Perissodactyla; Equidae.
GCCAACCAGCGCAGCCCCAGUUCCAGGUCUGUAAUGGAAACACAGGAAGCACGGCCUUCAAAGAGGGAGCCCUGGUGUUGGUCAAGUGAGGUCUUUGAGGCCACCGCCCUGUGGCUUGGCCAGUAGCUGUACCAUUGCGGAAACUGUAUUGAGAGGGAGGCAAGGCGCCUUCAGCCGAGGAGCUGCCAGGAAGGCCCUCACAAUGGAGACGAGAGGUACAAUGAAUUCACCGCCGAAUGAGACGGAUCUGCCCUGCUCCCAGCCUCACGGCAGCAUCCCCAGGACGGAUCUUGCAGUUGAGCAGCGGGCGAUGAAACAGCCUGGCUCGUCCUCAUUAUUAGGACUUAGAGAAGAAGACUAAGAUCCAGCCUGAAGGAGCAGCCUCUCUUCUGGAUAGACUGGAAAAAAGGAAGCGAAUUGGCAGAAACACACAAUGGCUCUCAAAGCUUCUGCCUGCUUCACACCCUCUCACGUGCUGUUGGCUACAGCAAGUCACGUGCCAAACCAGUGACAAGGGCAGAGAAUGCCCUGCAGGGGCCUCCAUCCAGUGUGAAUUAUGAGUCAGAUCUGGACCUGCCUGGGAGAGCACCUCGGAGACAGCGUGGAACUGUUCAGAGAAGACUACCCGUCUGUUCUAGCGACCAGAGGGCACCUGGGUUAACUGCCCCCAAGAAAAAGGCCGGCACCCCAAGCCCUUCUGCUUUUUUUUUUAAGGUAUGCUUUUUGGUGAGGAAGAUUGGCCCUGAGCUGACAUCUGUUGCCAACCUUCCUCUCUCUUUUUUUUUUCCUCCCCAAAGCCCAGCACAUAGUUGUAUAUCCUAGGUGAAGUCAUUCUAUUUCUUCUAUGUGGGAUGCCGCCACAGCAUGGCUUGGUGAGGGGUGCUAGGUCCGCGCCCAGGAUCCGAAGUGGUAAGCACCUGGCCGCUGAAGCAGAGCACAGGAACUUAACCCCUUGGCCAUGGGGUGGCCUCGGCCCUUCUGCUUUGUUCAGCCAC